This 1629-nucleotide unclassified non-coding RNA is filed under the name Hevea brasiliensis (rubber tree). Lineage: Eukaryota; Viridiplantae; Streptophyta; Magnoliopsida; Malpighiales; Euphorbiaceae. The record is from RNAcentral.
CUGAUUAAUAAACAAUCUGAGGACGACAGAUAAGCAGUACCGAUUACUUACAUUGUUUGGUAUCAUCAAAGACCUGGACCAAACCCAAUUAGGUAGAAGGCAAAAAUGAUAGAAAAUAUGAAGAGAGAAACUGUCCAUCACAAGCAAUGGACUUUCCAUCUCCUCUCUCCCUAUUCUGAUUACUUGCGGAUGGAAGACUGCACCCCACCUCACACAUACAUAAUAACAGUCGAGUCGUACAAUCUUGCGAGCUGAGCGGGUAGCAGUAAAAAAGCACAAUACUAGCAUCUCUUUCAGGUGAUUGCAGCUGGAAUGGGUCCAUUGUUGUCGAUACCCUGGGCGCGCUUGGGCCUCCACUCAGUCCGUCCCCUCACAAUCUCCGUCCCACAUUCCAUUCGGAGAAGAUGGUUACACUCAGUGUUGUCAGGGGAGACUGCGGUCAGGGACUGCAGCACACUGUCUCUCGAGCACUCCUUUCGGUAUUCCAGGGUCAAUCCAGCCAGCUCAUGGCUCUCAAGGAUCGAAAUCGGAGCACUCUCAAGAAUCCAGCCAAUAUACUUAACAUUGUUCACAUGCUGGUUGACAUCCAGAUCACUCCACCUAGGAGUUAAGCCGCUUUUCACAUAAUCUGCAGUAUCAUCAUUCAGCUUAGGAAGCUUCCUGCUGUCUUCAUCCAGAAUUGCUGGCUGUUCCACAAAAUAAGGCUCUAUUUCCGAUCUAACCUCUUCAGGUAUUUUAGAUAGUCUCCUAGUGAGUUUAUUCAUCAUCACCCAAAUACUGGUGGCUCUCAUAAUGGUCUGACCCGUACGGUAGUCGCAUACAUGCCAAUCCCGACGCAUGCCAUUUUUCCCGGAUUUACCAACCCAAGUAUCUACUUGAACAAUAUCUCCCCAAGAAGGAUAGUGCUCCACAAGAACCUGCAUUUUGGCAACAACCCAUAUGAGAUUCCUUCUACUCAUCUCAGGUGUUGCACCAAAUCCAUCGCCAAGCAGCCCCGCACCUCUCACAUGAUUAAGCGCCGUUUCCUGUAAAUGAUUCAUUAGCGUUUCUAUAGAAGCCGUUUUAUCUGCCCCAAUCUCAUACGACCGAAUUGAGAAAUUCUGCCUAAACACGAGCCCAUCCUGCACAAUCCUCCCUAGCCCGAAGGCAUCCGCCAGCAUGUCGGGCCGCCUCGGCUUCCAAUCGAUCAGCGUCCACUGCUUCUCCGCCGCAAGGAAUAUAGUAGUGAUGGCAGCCAGUAACAUGCUCAGGUCCGGCAAUUGGUUAUAGAAAGUCCUCGGGGCAGACGAGGACACAUCCUCUUCGGUCUUCAACCCGACCUUGGUCCCGUUGAUCUUCGGGAUGGCCCGGGCGUUGGCCUUGACCUGCAUCCCUCUCGACGUUGAAUUGGGUUUGGCACCCAUGCCGCGGGCGUCCAGACUCUCCGGUCCGCCGCCCCCAUUGCUCCGUAAGAGCUUUGCCGAUUGAACGUCGGACGAUGAUUGGGGCGGCAAGAACCCCGAUGCGGCGAUGGCGGCAACCAUGACGAUCUUCUGAGAAGGGGAGAGGCGGACGACGCCGGAGAUGGUGCUCGGACAGCUAGAGUUCCGGCAGCGACGAGGAGAGAGAAAGAGGGGGAUCGGCUGUGGA